RNAcentral lists this transfer RNA (72 nucleotides) under Lachnospiraceae bacterium YSD2013. It matches the Rfam family "tRNA". From Rfam's summary of the family: Transfer RNA (tRNA) molecules are approximately 80 nucleotides in length. RNAcentral also lists the same sequence under 7 other names. The record is from Rfam by way of RNAcentral. Lineage: Bacteria; Bacillati; Bacillota; Clostridia; Lachnospirales; Lachnospiraceae.
GCGCGAGUGGCUCAGCGGUGGAGCACCACCUUGCCAAGGUGGGGGUCGCGGGUUCGAUCCCCGUCUCGCGCU